This 274-nucleotide ribosomal RNA is filed under the name uncultured bacterium. RNAcentral's name for it is "partial 16S ribosomal RNA". It matches the Rfam family "Bacterial small subunit ribosomal RNA", at positions 523 to 796 of the family's 1533-position model. The record is from RNAcentral.
AUACGGAGGGUGCGAGCGUUAAUCGGAAUUACUGGGCGUAAAGCGUGCGUAGGCGGGUUGCUAAGUCAGAUGUGAAAGCCCCGGGCUUAACCUGGGAACUGCAUUUGAUACUGGCAGACUAGAGUAUGAUAGAGGGGGGUAGAAUUCCUGGUGUAGCGGUGAAAUGCGUAGAUAUCAGGAGGAAUACCAGUGGCGAAGGCGGCCCCCUGGAUCAAUACUGACGCUGAGGUACGAAAGCGUGGGGAGCGAACAGGAUUAGAAACCCUAGUAGUCC